Molecule: small RNA, 107 nt
Filed under: Marmota monax (woodchuck)
Lineage: Eukaryota; Metazoa; Chordata; Mammalia; Rodentia; Sciuridae
Source: RNAcentral
GCCUGGCAUUGUGACCCAUGCAUGUAAUCCCAGCUACUCAGGAGGCUGAGGCAGGAGGAUCACAAGUUCAAAGCCAGCCUCAGCAAUGUAGUGAGACCCUGUCUCAA